Molecule: transfer RNA, 76 nt
Filed under: Polycladomyces subterraneus
Lineage: Bacteria; Bacillati; Bacillota; Bacilli; Caryophanales; Thermoactinomycetaceae
Also listed under: 2 other names
Description: tRNA-Thr
Rfam family: tRNA
About the family: Transfer RNA (tRNA) molecules are approximately 80 nucleotides in length. Their secondary structure includes four short double-helical elements and three loops (D, anti-codon, and T loops).
Source: RNAcentral
GCCGAUGUAGCUCAAUUGGUAGAGCAACUGACUUGUAAUCAGUAGGUUGGAGGUUCGAGUCCUCUCAUCGGCACCA